This 254-nucleotide ribosomal RNA is filed under the name uncultured bacterium. RNAcentral's name for it is "partial 16S ribosomal RNA". It matches the Rfam family "Bacterial small subunit ribosomal RNA", at positions 524 to 776 of the family's 1533-position model. The record is from RNAcentral.
UACGGGGGGAGCAAGCGUUGUUCGGAUUUACUGGGCGUAAAGGGCGCGUAGGCGGCCACCGCAAGUCGGUUGUGAAAUCUCUGGGCUUAACCCAGAAAGGUCAACCGAUACUGCGGGGCUAGAGUGCAGAAGGGGCAACUGGAAUUCUCGGUGUAGCGGUGAAAUGCGUAGAUAUCGAGAGGAACACCUGCGGCGAAGGCGGGUUGCUGGACCAACACUGACACUGAGGAGCGAAAGCCAGGGGAGCAAACGGG